GACGAACGCUGGCGGCGCGCCUAACACAUGCAAGUCGAACGAGCGAGAGAGAGCUUGCUUUCUCGAGCGAGUGGCGAACGGGUGAGUAGCGCGUGAGGAACCUGCCUCAAAGAGGGGGACAACAGUUGGAAACGACUGCUAAUACCGCAUAAGCCCACGGCUCGGCAUCGAGCAGGGGGAAAAGGAGCAAUCCGCUUUGAGAUGGCCUCGCGUCCGAUUAGCUAGUUGGUGAGGUAACGGCCCACCAAGGCGACGAUCGGUAGCCGGACUGAGAGGUUGAACGGCCACAUUGGGACUGAGACACGGCCCAGACUCCUACGGGAGGCAGCAGUGGGGAAUAUUGCACAAUGGGGGAAACCCUGAUGCAGCGACGCCGCGUGGAGGAAGAAGGUCUUCGGAUUGUAAACUCCUGUUGUUGGGGAAGAUAAUGACGGUACCCAACAAGGAAGUGACGGCUAACUACGUG
This 466-nucleotide ribosomal RNA is filed under the name uncultured bacterium. Its description in RNAcentral is "partial 16S ribosomal RNA". It matches the Rfam family "Bacterial small subunit ribosomal RNA", at positions 28 to 507 of the family's 1533-position model. The record is from RNAcentral.